RNAcentral lists this microRNA precursor (58 nucleotides) under Euprymna scolopes. RNAcentral's name for it is "Esc-Mir-12517_pre stem-loop". The record is from RNAcentral. Lineage: Eukaryota; Metazoa; Mollusca; Cephalopoda; Sepiida; Sepiolidae.
CAUCUGACUUUCCUCCCGCGCAGCAUAUAAGCGAUUCUCGGGAGACAAGUGAGAUGUC